AGCUGCGCGCGUGCGCAAUUGCGCACUGCUGACACGGUCUCCGCGCACAGAAAAUCUGCGCUGCGCACAAAAAAAAAAAAAAAUCCAACCUAAAUUGUAAAUAAAAUAAACACGUAACAAUUCAUUCUCUGCUAUUUUUCAUUGUGAGUCAGUGAGUGACUGGUGACUGGCUGCUGCAGCCAAUGAUGCGAUUCACAUACGUAUUUACCAUAGACUGUAUACAAUGGUAUUUACGCAGCUAAUCUACGUCAGGCGUCCUUAUGUGCAGCCACCGUUGUUGUCAUAGAUAUGAAUGAGUAGAUAGGACACGCCCCUUUGAGCUGCGUGCUACAGCGAGGCUAAGCUAGUGGGGGCAAAGUUUCAGUGCAUUCCGUUGAUGUAGACAGCGUGAAAACGGAAACAACAAGUAUGCUGGCUCACUGUGCUGCAUACAGUUACACACUACGUCGUACGAUUGAGACAAGGAAACUUGGAAAUACUUUUCAGAGGUUUCCCAGAGACUAUGGGUUGAGGAGGAACUGGAAGUUUGUCGGCUUAGACCUGGUGUCAUUCCAUCAGUGUUAAACUUCACGGCUCAUCUUGGAAGAGUACGUGCCAGAAAGACCACGACCAAGCAGCCUUGAGAUCUUAGACAGCAUCUCCCUCAGGUCCCUCUCUAUCUCCCCACACAUCCACCAACCACUGGAACACAUCUCCAAAGUUCUGCUGGACCAGCUCAGCUUCCCCUCAGAAGAAGUGCUGCCACCUGCCAGAUGAAGGAGCCUUUUGAGAGGCAGCUGGCAUCGUGAUUGGACUGUACUUUGGUCUGUUCUAAUCCAGCUUCAGCUCCAGAGACGGCAGGCGGGACGAGUCAACGGAGGCCUGGUGGACGAAGGCAUGCAGCUGAGUACAAUCCAGAAAACAACAGAGGAGGAGUGCAGCAGCCCAGAGCCAGAACAACCAGAGUAGCAUCACUAAAGAACUACAGACUCUUCACAACCUGCUCAAACUCUUGGUACAGGACCUCACCACACGGGUCAAGAAGGUUUCUGUCUCAUUUCUACUCUGAAGCUCACCUUCUCCUGCUCAAACUGCUGACAAAUGUUUCUGCUGCUCUAAAGUCUGGUCUCCAGAACUUCCUAAAAACUCUCAAAGUCUCUUCUGCUGCAGGUUGCUUUGUAGAACUGUUCCAGAAAACCUCACUAAACCACAUGGAGGGGCCUCAAGAUAGUCGUCCAAAUGAAACCAUACAAAAACCAAACUAGCACAACCCAAACGCUAAAGUCUCCUGCAGCCUACCAGAGAACCUCUGAGAACAGAGAAUCAGGACAGGAACUCUUACCUUCUGGACAACCAACGCUGGUUCUCAAACAAGAAUACAGAAUGUGUCUGACCAAAAACCUCUGAAGACUCACUACAGCCAAGAUAAAGACACACCUCAGCUGCACCAAAUCCACUAAUCACUGCACACAUUAGCACCAUGUGCCAACUGUGGCUACAGAACCACAUUUACCAAGACAACUAUCCAGUACAAAGCCCUAAAACACACCAAGAAACACAUUAAAGCCGAUUUUACUGCUGGAAGCUGCAAACCAACACCUAAAGAACAAACUAAUGCAAUGGAGCCAAACCCGGUUCACUGGUGAAGAGAAACAGAGGAAAUGUUUGUCUGCAGCUAAAUAAAGCAGGAAGACACUGAGCUGCUCAGGUGUUCCUGAUAACACCAAGCAGCCACCUGGACAGCCAAUAGGAACGCAGCUUCCUGGAAGUCCAGAGGGCUGGCUUAGUCAAGGAAAUUUAAUUUAAAGUUGAAGCAGAAAGUUAACAAAGAAAGUUGAAAACCACCUUCUGAUCCCUGAAAUCUCUGAGUUUUCACACAAAGAACACCUGAACAUGUCAAACUGGUUCCAUAGUAGAACCCUCAUUGUAAAAACGUCAUAGUAUGGUGUGUUGCUCAAAAAACAUUAGGACCCGGCUGUCAGGGGACAAACAUGUAAGAAACAUGAGAACAGAGAGAACCCAACCAGUAGGUCACAGUUUAUCAUCAUCUAGUCAUCUCCUGAAGUCCAUAUGGUGAGAGACAUCAGUAUCUGGUUGUUCAUUUACCAGAGGAUGCUUAUAAUCAUGCUGAUGUGGUCUGUACUCUACAGUAUUUUAGUGACUCAAUAAAUGCCUAAGUUGUUUUUUUUUUUUAAAUGCUUUUUAGUUUUUAAUAAACAUUUAACAGCCUAUAUGUAAUCAAUAAAUGGCCUUUGUCUAUCUUAAGAAAAAUUCACUCAGAACUCUGAUAUGUUAACAGUACUAAAUAAAUCAAUAAAUACAUGCAUACACACAUAAAUAAGUUAAUACAUUAACUGUGUUAAGAUAAGAUUUAGAUUUUUAAAAAGUUGUUUAUGUUUUUGCAGAAUCCAGUAUUGCUCACUGGUUGGUCAUUACAUUUUAUUAGUUUGAUUUCACUGUUUAAAAUAAUGCCACCUCUUUUCAGACAGAACCUGUGAUAAUAAAACAAUACAAAAUUUUUAGUUCCGUGUUAAUAAAGCACUUAAAGCUUUAAGUAUGGCUAAAUGCUUUUUUCAAAAUUAAAUAUAUCACUCCUUAGGUGGUAGUGGCCCCAAGUUCAGUAAAGUUGGAAAGAUAUUCACAGAUUCAGACUUCCAGCAUCAAUAACUCAUUAGAUAUAGGUUGUCAAAACAUAAACGGUGCCUCUUUCCCAUUGUUGCAAGGCAGACAAUGUGCUACAAGCCCAGUUUUAUCAAAAGCAGCUGUCUUUCAAGCUACAGGAAUAACAUUGGUGUCUAUGGAGUGAACAGGGU
Long non-coding RNA from Amphiprion ocellaris (clown anemonefish), 2792 nucleotides. RefSeq lists it as uncharacterized. The record is from RefSeq and is a predicted model, not a curated record. The transcript is spliced from 4 exons. NCBI's taxonomy places the organism in Eukaryota, Metazoa, Chordata, Actinopteri, Pomacentridae.